This 492-nucleotide ribosomal RNA is filed under the name uncultured bacterium. RNAcentral's name for it is "partial 16S ribosomal RNA". It matches the Rfam family "Bacterial small subunit ribosomal RNA", at positions 29 to 507 of the family's 1533-position model. The record is from RNAcentral.
AGUGAACGCUGGCGGUAGGCCUAACACAUGCAAGUCGAACGGCAGCACAGUAAGAGCUUGCUCUUACGGGUGGCGAGUGGCGGACGGGUGAGGAAUACAUCGGAAUCUACUUUUUCGUGGGGGAUAACGUAGGGAAACUUACGCUAAUACCGCAUACGACCUACGGGUGAAAGCAGGGGAUAUUCGGACCUUGCGCGAUUGAAUGAGCCGAUGUCGGAUUAGCUAGUUGGCGGGGUAAAGGCCCACCAAGGCGACGAUCCGUAGCUGGUCUGAGAGGAUGAUAGGCCACACUGGAACUGGGACACGGUCCAGACUCCUACGGGAGGCAGCAGUGGGGAAUAUUGGACAAUGGGCGCAAGCCUGAUCCAGCCAUACCGCGUGGGUGAAGAAGGCGUUCGGGUUGUAAAGCCCUUUUGUUGGGAAAGAAAAGCAGCAGGUUAAUACCCCGCUGUUCUGACGGUACCCAAAGAAUAAGCACCGGCUAACUUCGUG